This 1320-nucleotide long non-coding RNA is filed under the name Phoenix dactylifera (date palm). RNAcentral describes it as "long non-coding RNA (PDAC_LNC014724)". The record is from RNAcentral. Lineage: Eukaryota; Viridiplantae; Streptophyta; Magnoliopsida; Arecales; Arecaceae.
AGGCGGUGGAAUCAAACAGAGAGAGAAGAAGAGAAGGAAAAGAAAGAAAGAAAAGAAGAAGAAGAAGGGAAGGGGAUUCGAGGUGGAAGAGAGCCCCGGUUGCGCUGCCAGCUGAAGGAAAAAGCGUAGGUCUCCUUCCCCUCUACGCAAAGACCUCGACUUUCCGAAAAGAAAAAGGUAAAUACCCGUCCCUACCUAGUAUUCUAAAGAAAUUAGGCUAUACAAAGGGUGGAUUUGGUCUAGAGAGGUUAGAUAGAAGUGGUUAAAGGAGAGGAAAUCGGAUUUCGACAAGUUUUUCCGAGGCUACGGAAAAACUGUGUCGAAGUCCCAACUUCGGUGAAUUAUUUCGGAGGUCAAUCGGCCUCCGAUGGUGAUACAUGUUACCAUUCUGGAAAUCCCUAUGAGUGUAGAAUGUUAGGUAAAAAUUUCAUAAAGUUUAGAAUUUGAAAAGUGGAUCAAAACCGGGAUGAAAUAACCCGCUGUCAGUUCGGGUUACUGUUCAUCCGAGAGGAAGAAGGUGAGAAAAAUGAUGGAAGUCGCCUCAAAACGCGCCGGAGUCGACGCGGGGUCAACUGGAGUCGACUCGAGGCAGAUUGGGGUCAACUCAUGCCUCAGAGGGGUCGACUCACGAGGUUGGGGGUCGACUCUCUCUCUGAGAGUCCAAAAAAUGAAGUUUUGCGGCUCUGUGGUCGGGGUCGACUCAUGAGGUUGGGGUCGACUCUCUCUGAGAGUCCAAAAAAUGAAGUUUUGCGGCUCUAUGGUCGGGGUCGACUCAUGAGGUGCUGCUUCAGUGAAAUUUUUAGUGAAGGAGGAUUUUGACUCUUUCUCGCACCUUGACCCUAUAGCAAUGGCCUAAGAUGUGUGUGUGAUGCUUUUGCAUCAUAAUACAUAUAAGGGGGAGAUUAAUUGAUAGGAAAAAGGGAAAAAGGAAGAUUUAGUGAGGGGGGAGUUGAGUCAAUUAAAGUUUUCUAUGUUUAUGGUUGAUACAUAGAUUAUGAGUCCUUGAUACAAGACUGAAUGUAUAAUUAAUGCAUGUCACAGUUGGGCAAGAAGCUAGGGAACAAGAGGAGGAAGUCCCCCACUGCCUACUGUAGAUUUUGAAGGUGUAUAAAGACUGUGCCAGAUUGACAGAUGAUUGAGAGUCAUGUACUUUGCACCAUGAGCAUUCUUAAUUCAUUUUCAUGAAUGUCGCCAAGUGUGAAUUGAUUCCACUUGUGCAUAUUAAUUGAUAUUGUAGUAGAUUCCUCUAUAAUCUUUUUUCUCCAUGUUUAAUUAUUUUGUACAUGCAUUUGAGGGAACAUUGAGAGGAAUUACAAGGGG